CCUACGGGUGGCAGCAGUGAGGAAUCUUCGUCAAUGGGCGCGAGCCUGAACGAGCCAAGUAGCGUGAAGGAUGACUGCCCUACGGGUUGUAAACUUCUUUUUUAAAGGAAUAAAGUGAGGCACGUGUGCCUUUUUGUAUGUACUUUAUGAAUAAGGAUCGGCUAACUCCGUGCCAGCAGCCGCGGUAAUACGGAGGAUCCGAGCGUUAUCCGGAUUUAUUGGGUUUAAAGGGAGCGUAGAUGGGUUGUUAAGUCAGUUGUGAAAGUUUGCGGCUCAACCGUAAAAGUGCAAUUGAUACUGGGAGUCUUGAGUACAGUUGAGGUAGGCGGAAUUCGAGGUGUAGCGGUGAAAUGCGUAGAUAUAACGAAGAACACCGAUGGCGAAGGCAGCUUACUAAACUGCCACUGACAUUGAUGCUCGAAAGUGUGGGUAUCAAACAGGAUUAGAUACCCUUGUAGUC
RNAcentral lists this ribosomal RNA (460 nucleotides) under uncultured bacterium. RNAcentral describes it as "partial 16S ribosomal RNA". It matches the Rfam family "Bacterial small subunit ribosomal RNA", at positions 338 to 795 of the family's 1533-position model. The record is from RNAcentral.